Amblyraja radiata (thorny skate) is the source of this 86-nucleotide long non-coding RNA. RefSeq lists it as uncharacterized. The record is from RefSeq and is a predicted model, not a curated record. Lineage: Eukaryota; Metazoa; Chordata; Chondrichthyes; Rajiformes; Rajidae. The transcript is spliced from 3 exons.
CGUGGCCGACGCCAGAUGCGGUACAGCCAGAGCUCGGCGCUUGGCUGCGCGCGGCAGGCCGGAUGAUUACAGGGGAAAAAAUGCAU